Molecule: ribosomal RNA, 503 nt
Filed under: uncultured bacterium
Lineage: Bacteria
Description: partial 16S ribosomal RNA
Rfam family: Bacterial small subunit ribosomal RNA
Source: RNAcentral
AUUGAACGCUGGCGGCAGGCUUAACACAUGCAAGUCGAGCGGGGUGAUGGUGCUUGCACUAUCACUUAGCGGCGGACGGGUGAGUAAUGCUUAGGAAUCUGCCUAUUAGUGGGGGACAACAUCUCGAAAGGGAUGCUAAUACCGCAUACGUCCUACGGGAGAAAGCAGGGGAUCACUUGUGACCUUGCGCUAAUAGAUGAGCCUAAGUCGGAUUAGCUAGUUGGUGGGGUAAAGGCCUACCAAGGCUACGAUCUGUAGCGGGUCUGAGAGGAUGAUCCGCCACACUGGGACUGGGACACGGCCCAGACUCCUACGGGAGGCAGCAGUGGGGAAUAUUGGACAAUGGGGGGAACCCUGAUCCAGCCAUGCCGCGUGUGUGAAGAAGGCCUUAUGGUUGUAAAGCACUUUAAGCGAGGAGGAGGCUCUUUUGGUUAAUACCCAAGAUGAGUGGACGUUACUCGCAGAAUAAGCACCGGCUAACUCUGUGCCAGCAGCCGCGGUAA